This 361-nucleotide ribosomal RNA is filed under the name uncultured Dolichospermum sp. Its description in RNAcentral is "bacterial SSU rRNA". It matches the Rfam family "Bacterial small subunit ribosomal RNA", at positions 376 to 751 of the family's 1533-position model. Lineage: Bacteria; Bacillati; Cyanobacteriota; Cyanophyceae; Nostocales; Aphanizomenonaceae. The record is from RNAcentral.
CGAAAGCCUGACGGAGCAAUACCGCGUGAGGGAGGAAGGCUCUUGGGUUGUAAACCUCUUUUCUCAGGGAAGAACAGAAUGACGGUACCUGAGGAAUAAGCAUCGGCUAACUCCGUGCCAGCAGCCGCGGUAAUACGGAGGAUGCAAGCGUUAUCCGGAAUGAUUGGGCGUAAAGAGUCCGUAGGUGGCAUUGAAAGUCUGCUGUUAAAGAGUCUAGCUCAACUAGAUAAGAGCAGUGGAAACUACAAAGCUAGAGUUUGGUCGGGGCAGAAGGAAUUCCUGGUGUAGCGGUGAAAUGCGUAGAGAUCAGGAAGAACACCGGUGGCGAAGGCGUUCUGCUAGGCCGAGACUGACACUGAGG